GAUGAAUGCUGGCGGCGUGCUUAACACAUGCAAGUCGAACGGAAAGGCCCAAGCUUGCUUGGGUACUCGAGUGGCGAACGGGUGAGUAACACGUGGGUGAUCUGCCCUGCACUUCGGGAUAAGCCUGGGAAACUGGGUCUAAUACCGGAUAGGACGAUGGUUUGGAUGCCAUUGUGGAAAGUUUUUUCGGUGUGGGAUGAGCUCGCGGCCUAUCAGCUUGUUGGUGGGGUAAUGGCCUACCAAGGCGUCGACGGGUAGCCGGCCUGAGAGGGUGUACGGCCACAUUGGGACUGAGAUACGGCCCAGACUCCUACGGGAGGCAGCAGUGGGGAAUAUUGCACAAUGGGCGCAAGCCUGAUGCAGCGACGCCGCGUGGGGGAUGACGGCCUUCGGGUUGUAAACUCCUUUCGCUAGGGACGAAGCGUUUUUGUGACGGUACCUGGAGAAGAAGCACCGGCUAACUACGUG
This 468-nucleotide ribosomal RNA is filed under the name uncultured bacterium. RNAcentral describes it as "partial 16S ribosomal RNA". It matches the Rfam family "Bacterial small subunit ribosomal RNA", at positions 28 to 507 of the family's 1533-position model. The record is from RNAcentral.